Molecule: ribosomal RNA, 249 nt
Filed under: uncultured Lactobacillus sp.
Lineage: Bacteria; Bacillati; Bacillota; Bacilli; Lactobacillales; Lactobacillaceae
Description: partial 16S ribosomal RNA
Rfam family: Bacterial small subunit ribosomal RNA
Source: RNAcentral
AACGUGGGGAACCUGCCCCAUAGUCUGGGAUACCACUUGGAAACAGGUGCUAAUACCGGAUAAGAAAGCAGAUCGCAUGAUCAGCUUUUAAAAGGCGGCGUAAGAUGUCGCUAUGGGAUGGCCCCGCGGUGCAUUAGCUAGUUGGUAAGGUAAAGGCUUACCAAGGCGAUGAUGCAUAGCCGAGUUGAGAGACUGAUCGGCCACAUUGGGACUGAGACACGGCCCAAACUCCUACGGGAGGCAGCAGAG